UGGCAGUGGGAAUGCUUUCUUUUGCUCAGUAGUUUGGGUGUAGCGAAAUCUAGUUCUACUCCGGUUUGUCUCUUUUGCUUUAAUCUUCUGGAUUUGGAGUUCUUUUGGCUUUUGGGAAAGAGAAACGGAGGAGGGCACAAAUAUUGUAAUACAACUAUGUGUACUCCCCUCCCCCUUUCCCCUGUACACUCCCGUCCUCCAGUAACUUC
RNAcentral lists this long non-coding RNA (209 nucleotides) under Elaeis guineensis (African oil palm). RNAcentral describes it as "long non-coding RNA (EGUI_LNC003541)". The record is from RNAcentral. Lineage: Eukaryota; Viridiplantae; Streptophyta; Magnoliopsida; Arecales; Arecaceae.